Molecule: non-coding RNA, 970 nt
Organism: Vigna umbellata (rice bean)
Lineage: Eukaryota; Viridiplantae; Streptophyta; Magnoliopsida; Fabales; Fabaceae
Source: RefSeq, a predicted model, not a curated record
AAUAUUUCUAAAUUUCUAAAAACAUCACAAAAGAUAUUUUCCCUUCUUCCCCGUUCACAACCAAACCCCACAACCCACUGACCACACCCUCUAGUAACCCCUCUUUCCCUUCCUCUCGCCUCCGCCACCACCGUGCCAUUUACGCCAUUGCCAACUCGGUUCAACCUCCACAAUAGCCACCGAGUCAACCAUUCUGGUAAGUAUCGAGUCGACAUGCUCUCUGAAUCGCUCCCCUUCAUCCAGAAAUUUCGCUGCAAAACUAUAGUCGUCAAGUAUGAUGGCGCCGCCAUGAACAAGGUCGGGGCCACUACAGCAGGUCUCUCCAGCCUCGAUGGCUGCAUCCUCACCGCCCGUCCCAACCCAAGGCCGCGGAUCUAGGCUUCGUCGGCGAGGUCGGACUUAUCCUGGCCAGAGAAUAUUCGGACUCUAAUUACACUAAUGCAUUCUAAGAUACAGUACUAAGACUAUUGAUUGAGCCUCCAAAUGAUAGAUUUUAAGUGAGAAAGUACCAAAAAGAAACUAGAUCUUCCAAAGAACCUGGUACCUCGAAUUUUGAUAAGUCAAAGCCCGGUUCUAGGUGGCAUGCGUUUCUUCAACUGUUGAGGGUCAAAUCGAAGAAGCCGGUGGCCACAUUGUAUCCUCUAAGUGUCCUCAAACUCUCCAGAAGAUUCACCAGUGGCAGGAGGGAGACUGUGAUAGAUUCUUCUUCCUUUCAUAGUUCACCCUGGAAAAUCUUCACUCACCAUGUGAUACAAAUUGCAACCAAUUACUUCGCCCAAGAAAAUUGUAUUGGAAAAGGUGGUUAUGCUGAGGUUUACAAAGGAUGUUUGCCAAAUGGUCAGCUGGUGGCGAUUAAACGAUUGGCACGUGGAGCAGAAAACGAAACUACGGGGGACUUCUUAUCAGAACAUGGCAUAAUGGUUCGCGUAAACCAUCCCAAUACUGCUAAUGUAGUUGGCUAUGGAGUGGA